CAACAAAGGCAAAAGGGAUAAGAAGUCUUAUACGAUAAACUGAAGCAGAACGCUACGAAACAGAGGCAGAGACUCACGCAGUCAACAAAAAAAAUCUAAGGUUCUUUACAAAUCACUUAUUUUUGAAUUCAGAAUCGAUUAUUUGACUGGUGUCAAUUGGACUGGGGUCUACGUAUUUGCUCGAGAAGUUUUGAGGAACCGGUUUUGCAGGCGAGCAGGCUACGUGUUA
Molecule: long non-coding RNA, 229 nt
Organism: Nicotiana tabacum (common tobacco)
Lineage: Eukaryota; Viridiplantae; Streptophyta; Magnoliopsida; Solanales; Solanaceae
Source: RefSeq, a predicted model, not a curated record